GGAAUAUCCUAAUAAAUGAUAAUAUGGUCUGCUUGAAACUCGAAAUCGAGUGAACUGGAGACAGUUCCGUGAGUUCAAAUCUCACUCUCUCCGCCA
RNAcentral lists this transfer RNA (96 nucleotides) under Petroclostridium sp. X23. RNAcentral describes it as "tRNA-OTHER". Lineage: Bacteria; Bacillati; Bacillota; Clostridia; Eubacteriales; Oscillospiraceae. The record is from RNAcentral.